RNAcentral lists this long non-coding RNA (34873 nucleotides) under Prunus persica (peach). Its description in RNAcentral is "long non-coding RNA (PPER_LNC003877)". The record is from RNAcentral. Lineage: Eukaryota; Viridiplantae; Streptophyta; Magnoliopsida; Rosales; Rosaceae.
UAAAAGGAGGGCUAAAGGAUCCAUCUCCAUUUGGCAAUGGCAGAACCAACAAGCUCGGUUGAAGUAGUUGAAGUUUGCAGGGUGGCUCCUCCUCCUCCACCCUCACCCGGUGCAUUCGCGUCCCCGAGCUCCCUUCCCCUUACCUUCUUCGACAUCCGUUGGUUAAGAUUUGCGCCGGUCCAGAACCUUUAUUUCUACCAAAUGCCUACUUCCUCUACAACACCGCUCUUCUUUGAUUCCAUACUUGUCCCAAAACUCAAAGCCUCACUCUCUAACACCCUCCAGCACUUUCUACCUUUGGCAGGAAAUCUCACUUGGCCUCAAGACUCCCAAAAACCUGUCCUUAACUAUGUCCAAGGCGACACCGUUUCGCUCACAAUAGCAGAGUCUGGUGCUGAGUUCUACCAUCUUUCAAGUGGUGACUUUGUUGAAGCCAGAGAGUACCAUCCUCUUGUACCCCGAUUGGAAGCGUCUCUUGAACAAGCUGCAGUGAUGGCAUUGCAAAUCACUGUCUUUCCCAACUGUGGCUUUUCGAUUGGAACUUCCUUUAACCAUGCAGUCCUAGAUGGCAAGAGUAUGACUUUUUUUGUAAAAUCAUGGGCUCACAUUUGCAAACAUGAUGAUCAAUCUAAUUCAGUGCUACCUGAUGAGCUGAAACAAUUUUAUGACAGAGUCAUUCAGGAUCCAGCUGAGCUUGGAACAAUCUACUCGAACGACUAUCGAAAUAAGGACGGUCCCGACAAUAGGAGCUUAAUGUUUUGGGAGAUGAAACCACCACCAGACUCAAUCCGAGGCACCUUUGAAUUCACACGAGCAGAUACAGAAACACUGAGGCAAUCGUUCAAUGCUAAAAUGGCAGAGCAGAAACCAGUUCAUGUGUCAACUUUCACUCUAGCUUGUGCCUAUACAUGGGUUUGCGUAGUCAAAGCAGAGGACAUAAAAGCUGACAAAGCACGUCUGGUCUUUAGCAUGGACUGCAGGUCUCGCUUGGACCCUCCUAUACCUGCAAACUAUUUUGGAAACUGCGUAGCAGGAUGUAUGAUAGUUGUCGAAACGAAAGGCUUGCUUGGAGAAGAUGGGUUGGUUGUCGCCGUGAAUGCAAUUAGUGAAGCUAUAGAAAGAUUGAAGAAGGGGGUUUUGGAUGGGGCAGAGACUUGGGUUUCAAGGUUGUUUGCUGUGAGAAGUGAGGAAAGAAUACUCAGCAUUGCUGGUUCAAAUCUGUUCGGAAAUUAUGAUACUGAUUUUGGAUGGGGAAGACCAAAGAAGUUUGAGAUUGUUUCCAUAGAUAGAAACAGAGCUAUCUCCCUUUCAGAUUCCAAGACUGGUGCUGGGGCUAUUGAAGUUGGGUUGGCUUUAGACAAACACGACAUGCACGUUUUUGCUUCUCUAUUUGCUAAAGGUCUUCGAAACCUUUGAAGCGCAUGAAGCCUCCGCAACAACAUUUUCUUUUUGCACUUUAUAUUUUCUGGAAUAAUAAUUUGGGAUUCGUUGGUCAAUAGUAGACCAACUUUGUAUGCUCUCGACAAUCAGCUUUGUGAUGAUGUUUUUCUUUGGACCAGGUGCAGGUGGCUCUGUCCGUCUCUUUUCCUAUGUACUGCAUCAAAUAAACUUCCUAGUGCUUUUUUUUUGGUCAACUAUAGAAGUUGACAUACUUUGUAUGCUCUCAAUAAUGACCUUUGUGAACAUGUUAUUCUUUGGACCAGUCUGUUUCUUUUCGCUGGGAAGUUUCGUCAAACACUUGGUGGGCAUAUUUGGUUCGCCCACCAAGCUUCCAAGGGGUCGCCGGAGCACCUUCCCAGCCACUUUUCCGGCCUCCAAGGGGACGGCACUGUGGGUCCGCCCAACCCUUGGCUUUUCUGUGAAUUAGAUAUGGUCAAUAGUUUCUAACUCCAAUAGUCCAAUGGCAGAGCUAAGCUCAACCUCAGUGAAACUAGUUGGGGUCUGCAGUGUAGCUCCACAACCACAACCAGAUGUUGCAGAGUUUUCUCUUCUCCUAACCUUCUUCGACCUCCUAUGGCUAAGGUUUCCACACUUCCACCGCCUUUUCUUCUACGAAAUUUUGGCUUCCUCUGCCUUAGCUGACACAAAACCCUUCUUUGAUUCUCUACUCCAUCAAAAACUCAAAGCCUCACUCUCUGUCACCCUCCAACACUUUCUACCUCUGGCAGGAAACAUCACUUGGCCCCAAGACUCCCACAAACCCGUUCUCAGUUAUGUCCAAGGCGACGCCGUUUCGCUCACCACAGCCUCUUAACAAGAAGAAGAGGAUGAGAUUUAGGGAUUUCAAUUUUCAAGAGAAAAGGAAGAGAGAGAGCAAGAAGGAAAAUAGCCUUCUAAUUCUGUAUUUCUGAUUAUGUGUAAAUGAAAUGGUAAAAACACAGCUUUAGUACAGUGCAUAUCUCCUAAUAUUACGCUAACAAACUGAACAAAUACAGCUAACUUUCACUAACAGACUUAACAGAGAGCUCGUGAGCUGCACAUGAUGACUUAACAAUUUCUUAACUAAAACACAUGGUUAACAUUUUCCCUACCCAGUUGAACUCCUCAGUCUAAGAUGAAGACAGUGUUGUAAGAAAAUGGGAUUGUGUAACCCCUUUGUAAAAACAUCUGCUAUUUAUUCUUCAGUAGAUAUAUACUGCACAAUAAGAUCCUUUCUUUGUACCUUCUCUCUCAUAAAGUGGAAGUCUAUAUCCAAAUGCUUAAUUCGAGAAUGGUAUACUGGGUUUGAGCUUAAAGCCAGUGCUGAUAAGUUGUCACAGUACAUAAUAGGAGCAUCUAGCAGAAACAUCUUCAGAUCCAAGAGAACUUGUCGAAUCCAUGACAAGUCAGCAGCUGUGUUUGCUAGGGCCCUGUAUUCUGCCUCUAUUGAACUCCUAAACACAGAACCUUGCUUUUUGGACUGCCAGGAGAUAGGAUUACAACCCAAGAAUACUACACAUCCGGUUGUAGACCUUCUAGUAUUGAGAUCCCCCGCCCAGUUUGCAUCACUGUAUGCAUUAAGCUGCCAAGGACCCUUUGUAAAACUAAUUCCAUACUCUAAUGUAACCCUUUACAUAUCUGAGAAACGCUUCACCAAAAAAUAGUGAACCUCAGUUGGAUUAUUCAUAUAUUGACACACAUGAUUCACAGCAUAAGCCAGAUCAAGUCUUGUAAAUGUUAGAUACUGUAGAACACCUAUGAGACUACGAAACAUAGUAGGAUCAGCCAAGGACUCACUGUCAGUCUGUAACACUUGAGUGUGUGGCUUACAAGGUGUUGCACAGGCUCUACAUGAACUCAUGCCGGCUUUAUGUUGUAGAUCCUUUGCAUACUUAGUUUGACUCACGAAUAUGUCACCAAAGAAAUUAUAGGAAAUCUGCAGACCUAAGAAAAAUGUGAGUUGCCCCAUAUCUUUCAUUUCAAACACCUCACUUAAGUCUGUAACCACUCUUUGAAUCAACUGAUCACUCGAACCUGUUAUAAUGAUAUUAUCAACAUAUAGGAGUAGAAUGAUAAUAUCAUUCCCAAUAUGCUGCACAAACAGACUUGGAUAUGAAUGUGAAGAUUUAAAGCCAAGAGUAGGUAAGUAACCUGUGAAUUUAGCAUUCCAUGCCCUUGGAGCAUGUUUAAGACCAUACAAAGAUUUUUUUUAGUUUACAUACAAACUGUGGAUGAGUAGAAUCUUCAAAACCAGGAGGCUGUUUCAUAAAAACUUCUUAUUCAAGAUCGCCAUGUAGGAAAGCGUUCUUGAAAUCAAGUUGUCGUAGUUUCCAUUGGUUCAUAGCAGCUAUGCUUAAUACUAACCUCACCGUUGUGUGUCUAACAACAGGACUGAAGGUUUCCCCAAAGUCAAAACUAGGCUCUUGACUGAACCCCUGAGCAACAAGUCUGGCCUUAUAUCUACCCACUGAACCAUCUGGAUUUCUCUUUAUUUUAUAAACCCACUUACUGCCAAUAAUAUUUUUAUCACCUGGACUAGGAACUAAGAUCCAUGUGUCUUACAUAUGAAGAGCAUCAAUCUCCUCUUUCAUAGCUUGCCUCCACUCAGAAGAAAAAGAAGCCACCUUAAAACUAGAAGGCUCAUCUAAUUCCGGAAUAGCAUGAAGACAGGUAAAAUAACCUUGAUAAUCUGGGAACUCUUUGUUCUGAACUAUACCGCUUUUGGACCGAGUAAUCAUGGGAUGAUCAUUGAUAGGAAUUAAACAAACCGAUGAGUCCGGAGUACUAACAGAAGAAGAGGAAACAUUGGAGACCUCAAACGGAAACAUAACCUGUAAUUGUUGUUCAUCCAACGAAGCUUGAUGUUGGAUAGGAGAUAAAGACCCAGGAGUAGAUGAGAUGGACUGGGACUGAGAAGUAGAUACUUGUGUAUCAGAGGCUAGAGACGAUGGAUCCUGAGAAUUAAGAGAAGCUUGAGAAAGCCUUGAAGGCAGAGAAACAAUGACAGGAGCCACUGAUGCAGUAGAAGAAAACAGAGAAGACUGCCAACAUAUACCAGGGUUAAUUUGCUUAAAAGGAAAUACAGCUUCAUCAUGAAGAACAUGCCUUGAGAUUACACAUUUUGUAGUAAUUCGAUUGUAGCAACUAUCUCCUUUGUAACUAGGUGAAUAUCCCAAGAACACGCACUGAGUGGUUCGCGGUUGUAACUUAUGCACAAUAAUGUCUUAGAUACGGAUAUACCACAAUACCAAAUAUUCUCAAAGAAGCAAGAUUAGGAUGAUGACUAAAUAAACGAAAAUAAGGAGACUGAUUAUGUAAAACGGAGCUGGGCAUUUGAUUGAUAAGAUACACAGCAUGAGCAGUAGAAUGAAACCAAAAUUGAGCUGGCAAGGCUGCUGUAGUUAACAGGGUAAUGGCUGUUUCAAUAAUAUGCCUAUUCUUCCACUCUGCCAGUCCAUUUUGCUGCGGAGUAUACGGGCAAGACAAACGACGCACAAUUCCCUUGGAAGCCAAAAAAUCUGUAAAAACUUUGCUAAGAAACUCACCACCACCAUCACUCUAAAAACGCUUAAUAGCAGCACUGAAUUGAUUUUGUAUCAAAGCAUGAAACUGUAGGAAUUUGGAGAAAACUUUUGAUUUAUUGAAAAGAGGAUAAACCCACAAAUAUCCAAUACAUUCAUCAAGGAAGGAAACAAAAUAUCUGUAACCCGCAAUAGAUUUGUAAUGGGAAGGGCCCCAUACGUCACUAUGAACUGUAUGAAAAGGAAUUUCAGACCUACUAUGUCUAACAGGAAAUGGAAGCCAUUGCAUCUUCCCUUGAAGACGAGUUGAACACAAGGGAUUCAAAUUGGAAGAUUAGAGGCUUUAAGCAUUGAUUGCACCACUUCAUUCGUUGGAUGGCCAAGUCUGUGAUGCCAAAUUGAAGACUUAACAUGUUGACCAAGCAAAGCUACUUUCUUGGAUAGGCAAUGAGAGGAUACAUAAGAGGGAAUAGGAUACAACCCGUUGUUACUCCGACCUUUUAGAAGGAUUGUCUUGGUGACUCGAUCCUGUAUCACAAAACCAGAAGCAUCAAAGGUGAUAACACAAUUAUUAUCUUUGCACAGCUGAUGCACAGACAAGAGAUUAGCAGAUAACUGUGGAACAUGAAAUACUGAUGGCAUUUUAAGAGAAGUAGAAGCACAUGCAAUGGCAGUAGUACCAAUGUGUUUAAUUUUCAAACCUUCUCCAUUACCAACAAUCACUUGCUCUGUAGAUUCACAAGGAGCAACAUGACUUAAGGAGGAAAUAUCAGACACCAUGUGAUGAGAAGCCCUACUAUCUGCAAUCCAGACUUGAUCAGGCAUAUAGGAAGUUUGGGCAGUCAUAGCGGAAAGGUUGGAAGGAGGAGCUUGACCCUGAUAGACAUAGUUGGAUCUAUGGAAACAAUCCAAGGCUCCAUGACCCUUCUUACCACAGAUUUGACAUUCAAUAACCUAAGAUCCAUGCCUAGAAGAGCUUACCUCAUGGAAAAAUAACAAUUAGCAUCUGUGUGACCCCGUUUGCUGCAUAUCUGACAUUCAGGAACAACUGCAUUUCUGAGAAAAAUUGGAACCAAAUCGAUUUCCUGAGAAAGAUGAAGGAGAGGCUCUGCUUUGAAAUCUGCCUCUUCCAGAACCAGAAUGAUUAGUGAAACCAGAAAAACCUCCAUGCUGACUAUUGGCAAUACCGUAAUGCUGAUGAUCGUUAAAACGACUAAAACCAUCAUUGUUACUAAGAACAGGUCUUGAACCAGAAUUGCGAUCCAAUGAAGGCAUAACAGAACGAUCAUAGGACCCCAUAUAGGCAACUGGUAAAGAAGGUGGAGUAGGCAAUAAACCCAUACCAGAAUUAGAAACGCCUAUAGCAUUCACAGAAGCAUAUAACGAAGACGACAGAGUGACGAACAUCGCAGAGUGAGGAACCAAUCGAGCUUCUGCGGUUUGCUCUGCAGCCAGCAAUUGAGCGCGAAAAUCCUUCAAAGAAAUUGGAGAAUCCCGUGCAAUCAAAAUCGUCUUGAUCACGUCAUAUUCCUGAGGGAGGCCAUUAAGAGUAGCAAUCAUAAAGUCAUCGUCAGACACCUUAACCCCCAGCUUGAACUAAUUGGUCAGGACCAUUUUCAGACGCAAGAGAAAGCGCUCGAUCGAAUCUCCACCCUUCUGGGCCAUAUGUAAUUCAGUCUUCAAAUGAUUGAUUCGUUUCCUAAAAAUCGAUGCAUAACGAUCGGAAAGACUUAACCAGGCGUCACGAGCAGUCUUGGUGCCAAUAACAUACUCUAUGGCCUCAUCAGAGAGAGUGGCAAUGAGCAAACUGAGUAAAGCCUUAUCAGUACAAAUCCAUUCCUUGUAAGCAGCAGUAACUUCAGAUGUAACACCCUCCUCAUCAACAAUAGCAAAGCGAGGAGGAGCAACUUCAGUUCCGUCAAAAUGCCCAAACAAAUCAUAACCCUGAAGAAUGGAUUCCAAUUGAAAACCCCACUUGAGAAAAUUAUCGUCUUUGAGAAGAAGAGUAAUCAUCCCAAGAAAACCGUCAAUUUUGACCGAAGAGGAAGAAGAAGAAGUCGCCAUUGAUGAACAGAAAAGAUAGAAAAGAGGAAAGAACAAUAGAGACAGAGCAAGAGAAUAGCACAGCGAAGAGACAGUUCAGAAAAAUCGGUAGAGGAUUGAAAGUGUCAAGCCACGAUGGGCUCUGAAACCAUCUUACAAGAAGAAGAGGAUGAGAUUUAGGGAUUUCAAGAGAAGAAGGAAGAGAGAAAGCAAGAAGGAAAAUAGCCUUGUAAUUCUGUAUUUUUGAUUAUGUGUAAAUGAAAUGGUAAAAGCACAGCUUUAGUACAUUGCACAUCUCCUAAUAUUACGCUAACAAACUUAACAAAUACAGCUAACUCUCACUAACAGACUUAACAGAGAGCACAUGAGCUGCACAUGAUGACUUAACAAUUUCUUAACUAAAAGACGUGGUUAACACAGCCCAGUCUGAUGCUGAUUUCCACCGUCUUUCAAGCAACGACUUCAACAUUGAAGCCAAAGAAUACCAUCCUCUUGUACUCCAAUUGGCAAUAUCUCGUGAAAAAGCUGCUGUGAUGGCUUGUCAAAUCACUCUCUUUCCCAACAGCAGCGGCUUCUCCAUUGGAAUUUCCAUGCACCAUGCAUCUCUUGAUGCAAAACUUUGUUCAUGUUUCUGAAAUCAUGGGCCCACUUAUGCAAACAUGAACCUGAUACUUUGUUGCAUGAUCAGCUGAAACCAUUUUAUGACAGAAGGGUCUUCAUCCAGGACCCAGCUGUGCUCGAGCUCGAAGCAAUCUACUUGAACCAGUUUCUGAAUAUGGACCAACGACCCAACAACCGAAGCUUGAUGGUUGCCACCCGUUAUAAAUCUCUAACGCUACGGGAUUCGAUUCGAGGCACGUUUGAAUUCACUAGCACAAAAAUGGAAGCACUAAGGCAAUCUGUCAUGAUCAAGAAACAACAACAAUAUCAUCAAUCUGUUCUAAAUUUGUCAACGUUUUGUCUAACAUGUGCCUACACAUGGGUUUGCUUAGUCAAAGCAGAAGAAGAAGAAGAAGAAAAAGAAGAAAUAAAAGACGACCAAAUACUUAUGGUGCUUAGCGUGGACUGUCGGUCUCGCUUGGACCCUCCUAUACCAAGCAAACGGGAGCAUGUAGGAGCAAAUUUUCCCAAAAGAAUAUUCGAUUGGUAGAUUCCCUUUUCUUCUUCGCCACUUCUUUCUCUCUGCAAAAUAGAACCAAUAAGAGGACCACACCCGGGGAGUGUUGGCCAAAGGCCCUCCGAUGCCUAAAUUAGUUCAAUUGAAUUGUAUAGAAAACAAUAGCUAAUAGGGUACGGAGAUAUGUUUAUGGUGUAAAUCGAGCGGGCGGAGCCAUAUGUGAAAGAGAAAGAGAGAGAAGGUGGCUAGGGUUUGAGAGGAAUUUUCUUCAGAGUUUUUAGUAGAGAUUUCAGACGUACCUCAACCCUUAUGUGUGGCCAUCCUUUUAUAGUGGUCUCGGAGGCUAGGGUUUCAAAGGAAUAAUUCUGUAGAUGAAAAGGAAUUAUUCCUCCCCGAUUUGGAAUUGAUUUGAUUAAUUAGGGAUUUGAUUAAUUAGGGUAAAUCAAAUCCCUAUCAAAUCCCCAAUUGUGGUAGGAAUCAAAUAAAUUCCUAACUUAAUUAGGUAACUCCUCAUUUAAUUGGGAAUUGUGGUAGGAAUUAAAUCAAUUCUCAACCUAAUUAGGUAACAUUUCAUUUAUUUGGGUAAUCUCCAAUUAAAUUGAGUAACUCCCAAUUAGGUUGAAUAAUUCCCAAUUAGGUCGAAUAAUCCCCAAAUGGAAGAAAUUAUUUGACCUAGGGUUCUAAUUUAAUUCGGUUCCCACAGAACAUUUGUAGAAAGAAAAGGACUUUUGGGAGAAGAUGGGUUCUCUGUGGCUGUAAAUGAGAUCAGUGAAGCCCUAAAAGGUUUGGAUAACGGGGUCUUGAAUGGGGCAGAGAACUUAGUUUCAAGUUUGUACCUUUCUGAAUCUGAUCUUCAGGCUACUACUGAUCAUUCCAGAGUGUUUACCACUGCUGGAUCACAUCAGUUUAAGAUGCACGAUACUGAUUUCGGGUGGGGAAGACCAAAGAGUACCGAAGUGGUUCCUAUAGGUAGAAGAGAAGCCAUCACUUUUUCAGAUGGCAAGAAUGGAGGUGGAGUUGUUGACAUUGGCUUGGUUCUGAAGAAACAUCACAUGGAGGUUUUUGCUUCUCUAUUUCCUAAGAAAGCAGAGAAUAAUUUGCCUGCAUCGGCUCCACCUGCUUCUGUGCCUGAAGCAUCAGCGCCAACUAGCACUAGUACCCCAGGGAGUAAUGAUACUAAUGAGGAAGGUAUGCUAGGCUUUUCUGAAUUUUCUCCCUUUUUAUUCUCUUUAUAUUUGCAAGUUUCCAUUUGAAAAUCUUCAUAUAACUGAAAUAUAAUUUGUAAAUGUGCAUUUAUCUGAAUUCAGUCAUCAAAUUGCUUUUCUAUAAUGACGAAAUUGCAUUUAUUGUAGUUGAGGGUUUUUCUGUUUACGUAAGGAAUUUGCCCUUAAAUGUGACGGCUGAUCAGCUUGAGGAAGAAUUCAAGAAAUUUGGACCAAUAAAGCAAGGAGGUAUCCAAGUUCGAAAUACGAAGGUUAGUCUCUAAUGUGAGAUGUCUUCCGUGCCAGAAGUGUCUCCUGCUCAGAUAUAGAUUUUCCGACAUAUUUGUGUGUGCAGCUGCAGGGAUACUAUUUUGGAUUUGUUGAGUUUCUGUUUGCAAGUUCCACGAAUGUCCCGUUUGGUUCACGGAAUGAAUUUGAGGGGAAAUCAUUUUCCAAGUAAUGGGAAAUGGAAGAUUCAUUUCCCAAAUUUGGUAAUGCUGGGAAAGUAACCGAGAGAUAUUGUUUUAUUUCCUUUCCCAUGUAUAAAUUUUCAAUUAUACCCAUAUUAAAAAAACAAUGCAUUUAAUGAUUUAUUGUAAUUCUAAAUUGUUAAUGGGGACAAAAUUGUCAUGAAAAAUAUUUAUUUGAUAUUAGCUCAUUUUCCCAAACUUUCCCAUGAUGAGGGAAAACAAAACCCAAGUUUGGAGAAUGGCUUCACUUUCCCCAUACUUUCUCAUGGGUCAGGAAACGAUUUCUCAUGCCUGGACUUACCAAAUAUGGAAAAGCAAUUGAUUUCUCAUUCCCAAGUCUCCUUUCCCAUGAACCAAACGGGGCCUAGUGCCAUUCAGGUAGGUGUUUAAAUUCUAUUUCCUAUGUUCUGUAUUCAAGUUCCAUGACUAGUGCCAUUCAUGAAUAGUGAUAUAGGAUGCGGAUUCCCCUCAACAAGUUACAGCAGUUAACCUAAUUUGACAAAAAUUGGAGAUUGGACUUGAACUGUUUAAAUUGAAAACCACCAGGGCAAAAAUGAUCAAAUUGAAACCACAGGGAUCUUAGUGAUAAAAGCGGUAAACCACAUGACCAAAAGUUACGUUUUGCCAACUUUCAUUUAUGGUUGUUCAUAUGCAUCUCAUUCUAUAGGAAGUGCAAUGAAGAUAUUUACUCUUUAAGAUAUCCUUACUUCUUAAGCUAUUCUUCUUAGAACCUUACGAAAGUAAGUCAGUCAUUCAUAUGAGUAAUCAAGUCUAUAAUUUGAACACAACAGGAAGUCAAAUUCAUUAGGGUUUAGGGUUGGUUUGGUGAUAAGUAGUAAACGUACGGCGUUGGACGAAUUGAAAACCAAUCCAAUGGUGACAUUUACCUAUAUGUACUAACACCUAGUACAUAAGCCUUCGGAAUGAAUUGAUUACCAAUCCAGUGGUGACAUUUACCGGUACGGUGAUCCCCCACUUUUAAAACUUGAAAAUGAUGAUAUACCAAACCAAGUGUGGUUUUGUGGCUUCUAUUGUGUGGCGUGGCCUGAUAUCAGCCCCAUUUUGUAUUUCACCAAAUACACGUCCUUUUGCUCUUAACGAGAGAGAAUAAAUUCUCCUUUUUCGUAUGCUUCUACGGUGCUGCAGUGCAUACAACAACUGCACUUCUUGUUGUUUUGAUCAUUCGGUGUUUGCCUUAUAUUUGUCUCCAUUUCCUAUUGGGUGUGCUAGCAACUUUGUGAAUGACAAGAAGAGUUCGUAAGUUUCUCUUCUAUUUUUGCUGUUUCCUCUUUUUAUUGGCUCAAAUGUUUGAGAGUGUAUUGGGUGUAUUGGCUCAAAUCAUAGGCUACGAAUUCGAACUAGUAUAAAUCAUGUGUAUUAUUGGUUUAUUUAUAUUUGUCAAAUUUUGCAUCUGCUUGAUAUACUACGCCUCCGUACAACACUAAGCACUUGGACAGAUUCCACCUGACCUGUCUAGUAGUAGUGAUAAAAAGAGGGCAAAAGGAUCCAUCUCCAUUUAGCAAUGGCAGAACCAACAAGCUCGGUUACAGUAGUUGAAGUUUGCAGGGUGGCUCCUCCUCCCCCACCCUCACCCGGUGCAUUCGCGUCCCCGAGCUCCCUUCCCCUUACCUUCUUCGACAUCCGUUGGUUAAGGUUUCCGCCGGUCCAGAGCCUUUAUUUCUACGAAAUGCCUACUUCCUCUGCAACACCACUCUUCUUUGACUCCAUACUUGUCCCAAAACUCAAAGCCUCACUCUCUUACACCCUCCAGCACUUUCUACCUCUGGCAGGAAACCUCACUUGGCCUGAAGACUCCCAAAAACCCGUCCUUAACUAUGUCCAAGGCGACACUGUUUCGCUCACAAUAGCAGAGUCUGGUGCUGACUUCUACCAUCUUUCAAGUGGUGACUUCGUUGAAGCCACAGAGUACCAUCCUCUUGUACCCCGAUUGGAAACGUCUCAUGAACAAGCUGCAGUGCUGGCAUUGCAAAUCACUGUGUUUCCCAACUGUGGCUUUUCGAUUGGAACUUCCAUGCACCAUGCAGUCCUAGAUGGCAAGAGUUCAACUUUAUUUGUAAAAUCAUGGGCUCACAUUUGCAAACAUGAUGAUCAAUCUAAUUCAGUGCUACCUGAUGAGCUGAAACAAUUUUAUGACAGAGUCAUUCAGGAUCCAGCUGAGCUUGGAACAAUCUACUCCAACGACUAUCAAAAUAAGGACGGUCCCAACAAUAGGAGCUUAAUAUUUUGGGAGAUGAAACCACCACCAGACUCAAUCCGAGGCACCUUUGAAUUCACACGAGCAGAUAUAGAAACACUGAGGCAAUCGUUCAAGGCUAAAAUGGCAGAGCAGAAACCAGUUCAUGUGUCAACUUUCACUCUAGCUUGUGCCUAUACAUGGGUUUGUGUAGUCAAGGCAGAGGACAUAAAAGCUGACAAAACACGUCUGAUCUUUAGCAUGGACUGCAGGUCUCGCUUGGACCCUCCUAUACCAGCAAACUAUUUCGGAAACUGCAUAGCAGGAUGUAUACCAGUUGCCGAAACGAAAGGCUUGCUUGGAGAAGAUGGGUUGGUUGUCGCCGUGAAGGCAAUUAGUGAGGCUAAAGAAAGUUUGGAGAAGGGGGUUUUGGAUGGGGCAGAGAAUUGGGUUUCAAGGUUGUUUGCUGUGAGCGAGGGAAGAAUGCUCAGCAUUUCUGGUUCACAUCGGUUCGGAUUUUAUGAUACUGAUUUUGGAUGGGGAAGACCAAAGAAGUUUGAGAUUGUUUCCAUAGAUAGAAACAGAGCUAUCUCCCUUUCAGAUUCCAAGACUGGUGCUGGGGCUAUUGAAGUUGGGUUGGCUUUAGACAAACACGACAUGCACGUUUUUGCUUCUCUAUUUGCUAAAGGUCUUCGAAACCUUUGAAGAGCAUGAAGCUUCCGCAACAACAUUUUCUUUUUGCACUUUAUAUUUUCUGGAAUAAUAAUUUGGGAUUCGUUGGUCAAUAGUAGACCAACCUUGUAUGCUCUCGACAAUCAUUUGGAAUAAUAAUUUCAAAUAUAUAUAUGAAAUAGUAUUUUAAAUAUAUAUAUAAGCUCCGAUCUCUUGAACCACAGGGACUGUGGUUGUGGUCAUCCACCGUUUGAUGUAACAUCCAACGUUUCAAAAAAAUUUCUUAAAAAGAGUGCAAGAGUGAGUGAACCGUUGAAUUUACAUCCAACGGUGAGUGACCACAAAUCUCUUGGACCCGUGUAGUCCAAGAAAUCGGGACUGAUAUAUAUAUAUAUAUAUAUAUUAAUAUUUUGGGAAAUUAAAUGUUUUGUUAUCUAUUUAGUUUAUAAUUUAAAUUAUAUUUAAUUGAUUAUAUAUGUACAGGGAGCUUUUAUUGAGGGAUCUCUCGAAUAAGCUUAUUUGAGAGACACUUUUAUAAGACUCACUCAGUAUUGUAUUUCACGAAUUCAAACCAUCUAUUUUAAAAAUAAAAUAAAAACAACAUUAAAAAAUAAUUAAAAAUUAUCCACGACAAGUUUUCAUAUUAUGAUAACUUAGCAACUAUUGUUGAUUUUAAAGGACUUUGAAAUGGCCAUUGGGCUGUCAAAAGGUAGAGACUAUGCGAAAUGCAAUGGAUGUGAUCUCCCUAUAGUCAUAGAGUGAAAUGCAAUGCAAACAAUAAAACUAAGUACACUUUUCCCAUUUAUACUGAUUUCUAUCUUGAAUUUAUAUUAUUAUUUCUAACUUUAAUGUGAAAAGGAAGGAGCAUUAAAUGAAUCAUGUCUAAUUAUUUUCUACCAAAAUCCAAAAAAAAAAAAAAAAAAAUUCUAUUUAAAUCUUACACUUUUUUUUGUUCACCCUAAUACUUAAGUAAUUAGUCUCUUAAAAAGACAAAAAAAAAGAAAAAAAGUCAUCCAACUUAAUACUUAACCCUAAUACAUCUAUACACACACCCCACCACUCUUCAUAUUAAGUUUUAGAAAAACACACUCCUCUACACCCCAUUAUUGUUAGAUUACUCAUCUCUUUCAAUCCAAAAAAUCUACUAUACUCUCAUCUUCUCUUCACAAAACCUAAAUACGGUAUGCAAAUAGUGGCUUGUGGGUCGUCAAUUGAGGUUUGUAAUGUGAAAAGUCGUUAUCAGGAAGACCACCUGCUAAUUUUCCCAAGCAAACUUCUGAAUUUUGUGCAAGAAUUUGAUCAGGGCCUCUCAAGGAAGGUAAAGACUGUGAGUCUCUUUGUUUUACAAUAAGUAAUGAUAGCUGAAAUUAGCUGUUAAUCACAACGCUUCAAAGUAGAAUGAUGAGGGGCAAAAUAGCGGGGGGUGGGAAUGAUGAGUUUUUUAAUUUAUUUUAUUCUGGGUGUGUAUUUAGGGGUAAUUUGGAAAGAUAGUGGAGUUUUCUUAGAAAUUGUAAAAGUUUGAAUUAAAAAUUGGGAUAGACUUAAAAUAAAGAGUAAACAAAGAGAAGUACGGAGUUUAAAUAGAAAAACUCCACAACAAAAAAAUUCUAUUAUUUCUAAGGCAAGUUGCUUUUUUAAACAACAAAGCGCAUCCUUAAGAGCAAGUCCAGCAGUGGGAGCUGGACUCGGGCUGGGGGGGGGUUUGGGCAAAAAAAGGAGGUCCAGCAGUGAAGAAGCAGCCCGGACAAGCGUGGGGUCCACCAGACAGGGCAGGUCCGAAGGCGAUUUCGGCCCGAGCUCGGGCCCGAGGGCGAUGAUGUCAUUGCUGACGCCAGCGUGGCGUCAGCCCUCCUGAAUUCAAAUUUUUUUUACCGUUGGCGCGUGCAAUGCACGCGCCAACAUUAAAAAAAAAAUUUGAAUUCACCGCUACAGUAGUCGCCAACGGCUACUUGACACGUGGCAGCCUCUGGUCGCUCCGAUUCGAAUUUUUUCUUCAAUCCAACGGCAGCCAAUUUUUCUGCAAUAAAAAAUUGAAAAAAAAUCGAAUUUUAAAAAAAAAAAAUACACAAAAAUUAUUGAAUUUUUUGUGUAUAAAUACCAACCAAUACUCUUCACUUUUAACACCAAAUCCUCAUAUAUUUUCUUCUCCUUCUACUAUUGUUCACUUUCUCCUCAAAAUUUAUUCACUUUCUAUUCAAUAUUUUUUCACUUUGAAGUUGUAUUUUUUUUUCUAUCAUAUUAUGGGUUCUUCUAAUGAAAAUGGAGGGGCAUGGAGCAUGAUGGAAGAUGUUAGCUUGUGUGAGGUUUGGGUCCAAGUUAGUCAUUGUCCCGUAAUGGGCAAUGAGAUGAAAUUUUCUCAUAUGUGAAAAAAAAUUCAUCAAGCAUUUUGUGAAAGGGCAAUUGGUUCUACACGUACAGAAAUGGCAUUAUCCAGUAGGUGGAAAGUUCUUAAUAAAGAGUUGGCGAAAUGGAGAAAUGCCUUAGCAAAAGCGAUGGACAAGCAUCGAAGCGGAGAAAACUUAGCAGUGAGGUAAAUUAUUUGUCAUUUUCCUUCUAUUAAUUUCUAUGUCAUAUUAAUUUUUAUUUAAAUGUUUCUUGCAAUUUAUAUAUUUUGUUAAUAUGUCUCUAGUUUUUUUUUAUACAUGUUGCAUUUUUUUUAAAUUUAUUGAAUUUGCAUUAGUUUUUUUUACAUGUUGCAUUGCCAAUAUUUUUUAAAGUUUCUUGCAUUUCCAUUUAAUUUUUUUUUAUAGAUUAUGCAAGCUCAAAUGUGGUUUGGUGCUACGGGGCAAGGGAAAAAAAGUUUCAACCAUACCCAUUGUUGGGAGGUGGUGAAGACUUGUAAGAGAUUCCAAAUUAUUCCAACCGGUCCGACGGUAGUCUUGAACGAGACUCCACUUCAUGAGACGCCAGCAUCGGAUUCACCUAUGAAUUCCCCAAUGAGUCAAGACUCACCCAUUGAAAAGGAGGCAAGGCCUAUUGGGAGAAAGGCGGCGAAGGCGAAUAGAGGGAGUAAUUCUAGCAAGAAUGCAUCUAAAUUUUUGGAGGAACUUUCAAAGCACCAAGCCAUGAGAAUUGAAAUGGACUUGAAACAACAAGAGCACGAUAUGGCUAUUCAAGUCGAAUAUGCAAAAGAAAGGGAGUAUUGUACGCAAAGAAAGGGAGUAUAUACGCGAACAAAACAUUGAAAAAAAAGAUCGGGAAACCAUGGCCAUGGAUACAAGCCAUAUGUCCCCUAAAACAAAACAAUUUUGGAAGCUAGAACGAAGGGAUGUUAUGAGACGAAGACUUUUUCGUGACGAUGGACCUAGCAAUACGGAUUGGUUAAAUGAUGGAAACCAUUAAAAUAGUUUGUUUGCCUUUCAUGUCUUAGUUUACUUGCCUUUGAUUUCAUUGUAUUUUUUGUUUUGUUUAAUUCAUGUAUUUUAUUUUAUUAGUUGUAUUGCUUUUCUUUUAGUCAAUAAAGAAAAUAUUCAACAAAAAUCCUUUUUAUUCAAAACAUUCCAUACAUAAAAAACAAACCACAACCAAAGCAUAAAAAAUAAACAACCCACAACCAAAGCAUAAAAAAUAAACAACCUACAACCAAAGCAUAAAAAAUAAACAACCCACAACCAAAGCAUAAAAAAUAAACAACCUACAACCAAAGCAUAAAAAAUAAACAACCCACAACCAAAGCACAAAAAAUAAACAACAUACAACAUAAACAUAAUAAAUUAAAAACAACUUCUUCACUUCACUUCAUUCACCUUCAUUUCCUUCAUUGCCUUUCACCGCCCAUAAAUGCUCCAUCAAGUCAACUUGACGGUGUUCAUGAAUAUACGACGAUUGCAUCUCCGUGUAGCAAUCAAUCAUACGGGGCAUGAAACUACCGUCUCUAACCAACGGUUCAUGCUGCACUGGUUCUCCAUUUGGCCCCACUGGUUUUUCAUAAAUUCGUGUUAGGGCCGUAUCCUUGGGAUUUGGUUCAUACACGUCAUCAGCAUCGUAAUCAUAUUCAUCUUCCACAAUCAUGUUAUGGAGGAUGAUGCAAGUCAUCAUUAUACUCAUAAGCACCUCCUCGUCAAAUAGACGUGCUGCGCCCCUGAUAAUAGCCCACCGAGCUUGAAGGAUACCAAAGCACCUCUCAACAUCUUUUCUGUACCCCUCUUGAUAGCGAGCAAAAAAAAUUUUGCUUAUGGGAUCGGGGAUGUGGAAUUGUUUUCACAAAUGUUGUCCACCUUGGGUAGAUGCCAUCAGCUAGAUAAUACCCGUUCUGGUAGAUGGUAUUGUUAAUUUCAUAUGUGAUAUUUGGGGUUUCACCUCUCAAAACAUCAUUGAACACCGGGGAUUGACCUAGGACAUUCAAAUCGUUUUGAGAUCCGGCAACUCCGAAGAAGGCGUGCCAAACCCAUGUAUCAAAACCAGCAACUGCUUCCAGGAUGAUACUUUUCUGCCCUUUUCUAUUUCCGUAGUCCCCUUGCCAAGCAGUUGGACAAUUUUUCCACUGUCAGUGCAUGCAGUCAAUGCUACCAAUCAUGCCAGGAAAUCCUCGAGACUCAGCUUUUUGGAGAAGCCUUUGCAGGUCUCUGGGCGUAGGUCUGCGAAGGUAGUCUCUGGUGUAUAGAGUUUCCACUGCAUCACAAAAUCACACCAAGCUCUCCAAAACAGUGGACUUCCCCAUCCGAGCAAUCUCAUCCACCUGAUCAGCAGAUGACCCAUACGCCAACAUUCGUAUCACAGCUGUGAACUUCUGCUGUGGAAGAAGUCCCAAAUUUCCAGCACAAUUUCUCUUUUGAACAAAAUAUUCAUCAUAAUUGCAAAUAUCAUGCAUGAUUUUAUUGAACAAAUGGGGUUGCAGUCUAUAUCUCCCUCGAAAAUGAACAUCAGAGUACAGAGAUUGUGGGAUAAAAUAAUCUUCCAUAAGAUUCUUACCCCGUGAAUGUCUAUGUCUGUCCACAUUUGGGCGACGGCCUUCUCGUGAACCACGGCGACCCUGGUUUUCUUCCUCCAGCAAAGCAACUGCUAUGCCAAGUUGCUCAUCUAGUUCUCUCUGCGCCCUUUUGCUUGCAGCUCGUCUACGCAUUCUUUCUCUAGUUUCUCGCUCUUGCCUCUCCAAAACCUCUUCCAUGUCUGCCAUUGAGAAUGGAGAAUGAAAUCUAAAAUUUGAGAAAUGGAAGUGUAGAUAAGAACUGGGUGGGAGGUAUGAGCUGAACCUCUGGUUUUAUAGAAAAAUGUACACAUAUAGAUAUGAUACGCGGCGCAAUCUUAGAUGGUGAAAAUCUUAUCUGAAAUUUGAAAUUCAAAUGAAAUUUUAAAUUUCAAAUUUAUCUGAAAUUUGAAUUUCGAAAUGUAUCUGAAAUUUGACAUUUUGAAUUUAUCCGAAAUUUGAAUUUUGAAAUGUAUCUGAAAUUUAUCUGAAAUUUGAAACUGAAAAUCUUAUCCGAUAUGAAUAGUAAUGACACGUAGGAACCCAAAAAUCUUAUCCGAAAAUAUUAUCCAAAUUAAUUGUUUAAGUAAACAAAGUUGUGAAAAAAACAAAAAAAUGAAUAGUAUUUGCCAUGGCAAGCCCCAACUGCUGGAAACACAUUUUGCUGGAGGGGGCUAGGGCAGCCACUAUUCACGUGAAUAGUGGCUGCCCUAGGUCUCAUCUUGCCAUGGCAAAGGGCAACUGGUGGAAAUGCUCUAACUUGGUGUCCAAUGCCCAUGCGUUUUUCAAAGAAAAGGACGGCAGUGGUUAUGGGUGAAGGGUGAAGUUUCUUCGAACACAUGGUGGGCAUAUUGGGGUCGCCCAUGAAGCUUCCAAGGGGUCGCCGGAGCACCUUCCCAGCCACUUUUCCGGCCUCCAAGGGGUCCGCACUGUGCGUCCCCCCAACCCUUGGCAUUUCUGUGAAUUAGAUAUGGUCAAUAGUUUCUAACUCCAAUAGUCCGAUGGCAGAGCUAAGCUCAACCUCAGUAAAACUAGUUGAGGUCUGCAGUGUAGCUCCACAACCACAACCAGAUGUUGCAGAGUUUUAUCUUCCCCUAACCUUCUUCGACCUCCUAUGGCUAAGGUUUCCACACUUCCACCGCCUUUCCUUCUACGAAAUUUUGGCUUCCUCUGCCUCAGCUGACACAAAACCCUUCUUUGAUUCUCUACUCUUUCAAAAACUCAAAGCCUCACUCUCUGUCACCCUCCAACACUUUCUACCUCUGGCAGGAAACAUCACUUGGCCCCAGGACUCCCACAAACCCGUUCUCAGUUAUGUCCAAGGCGGCGCCGUUUCGCUCACCACAGCCCAUUCUGAUGCUGAUUUCCACCGUCUUUCAAGCAACGACUUCAACAUUGAAGCCAAAGAAUACCAUCCUCUUGUACCCCAAUUGGCAAUAUCUCGUGAAAAAGCUGCUGUGAUGGCUUUUCAAAUCACUCUCUUUCCCAACAGCAGCGGCUUCUCCAUUGGAAUUUCCAUGCACCAUGCAGCUCUUGAUGGCAAAACUUUGUUCAUGUUUCAAAAAUCAUGGGCCCACUUAUGCAAACAUGAACCUGAUACUUUGUUGUCUGAUCAGCUGAAACCAUUUUAUGACAGAAGGGUCUUCAUCCAGGACCCAGCUGGGCUCGAGCUCGAAGCAAUCUACUUGAACCAGUUUCUGAAUAUGGACCAACGACCCAACAACCAAAGCUUGUUGGUUGCCACCCGCUAUAAAUCUCUAACUAGAUUCGAUUUGAGGCACGUUUGAAUUCACUAGCACAAAAAUUGAAGCACUAAGGCAAUCUGUCAUGAUCAAGAAACAACAACAAUAUCAUCAAUCUGUUCUAAAUUUGUCAACGUUUUGUCUAACAUGUGCCUCUACACAUGGGUUUGCUUAGUCAAAGCAGAACAAGAAGAAGAAGAAGAAGAAGAAAUAAAAGACAACCAAAUACUUAUGGUGCUUAGCGUGGACUGUCGGUCUCGCUUGGACCCUCCUAUACCUGCAACCUAUUUUGGCAACUGCAUAACGGGCCAGGGGCAUUUGCAGAAGAAAAAAAAGGACUUUUGGGAGAAGAUGGGUUCUUUGUGGCUGUAAAUGCGAUCAGUAAAGCCAUAAAAGGUUUGAAUGACGGGGUCUUGAACAAUGUUUUCAAAGGCGAUGCGUAUAGGCGAGGCGUUUUUAGUAGCGCUAUGCGAGGCGUAAGCCUUGAAGCAUUGAGGCGUAAGCCUUUUGAACAUUAAGUUAUUUUAAUAAGAAAAAUUUAUGAAUAAUACAAUACGAUUAAAUUGUACAACUAAUUCUUAUUCAACCAUAACAAUCUUUUAAAUAUAAUCAAAUAUAAGUACUAAUUGUCAUUCAAAACAUAAUAAUCUAUCCCAAAACAUAAUAAUCACAUAAACGAAUAAGAUAACUAGUGUAUUUAAAAAAAAAUCGAAAAAAAUUUAUACGAAACUUCAAAUUAUAGUUUAUUAUAGUCAAAUUAUACAAGUAUGAUGCAUGUACGUCAAAAAAAAAAAACAAAAAAAAAAAAGACUUACUUGCAAUCGAAAGAUGAAGAGAAUUCUUGAAAUUGAUGGAGUUAUCUGGUAAGGGUAGAAAUUAGGGUUGUACACGUACUACACAAUAUAUAUAUAUAUAAAAAAGAUAAGUCUAUACGUUAUUAUAUUAAUUUAGAGAAAGAAAGGAAAAAAAAAAAAAAAAAAGGUAAGAACAAAAGCUACAGUCGGUGGGAGUUAGGGAAAAAAAAAAAGAUAUUAAUUCUUCCCUUAAGUUUAUUACAUAAAAGGUAAAGAAAAAGAGGAAAAAAAAAAAAGGGUAAGUAUCAAAGCUACAGUCGUUUCACUCAAAUACAAAAACUGAAACGUUUUUUUUUUUUGUUUUUAUAAAAAAGGUAAGUACAAAAAAAAAAAGGUAAGUACAAAAACUGAAACUUUGGUUUUUAAUUUUUUCAACAUACUCCAAGUGAAACGACGUCGUUUCACUCAAAGAUUUCUUUUUAAAACACUGCAAUCAAAACGACGUCGUUUGAUUAUGCCUAAAAAAAAAUAAAAAAAAACUGGGUCAUCUUCCUCGCGAGGUCGUCUUCCUCGCAGAGAAGUUUCAGAUUUUUCAGAUUCUCAACGCCUCGCAGAGAAGUUUCAGUUUAGAUUUUUCAGAUUCUCAACGCCUCUCACGCCUUCCAACGCCUCUCACGCCUUCCCAGCGCUAAACGUGCAACUCGCGAAACAGCCGAUCGCCUCGGGCGUUUUCCUCCCGCCUCGCUCCGACGCGCGCUCCGACGAGCGCGAAGGCAUGCCUUUGAAAACACUGGUCUUGAAUGGGGCAGGGAACUUAGUUUCGAGUUUGUACCUUUCUGAAUCUGAUCUUCAGGCUACUACUGAUCAUUCCAGGGUGUUUACCACCGCUGGAUCACAUCAGUUUAAGAUGUACGAUACUGAUUUCGGGUGGGGAAGACCAAAGAGUACCGAAGUGGUUCCUAUAGGUAGAAGAGGAGCCAUCACUUUUUCAGAUGGCAAGAAUGGAGGUGGAGCUGUUGACAUUGGCUUGGUUCUGCAGAAACAUCACAUGGAGGUUUUUGCUUCUCUAUUUCCUAAGAAAGCAGAGAAUAAUUUGCCUGCAUCGGCUCCACCUGCUUCUGUGCCUGAAGCAUCAGCGCCAACUAGCACUAGUACCCCAGAGGGUAAUGAUACUAAUGAGGAAGGAAUGCUAGGCUUUUCUGAAUUUUCUCCCUUUUUAUUCUCUUUAUAUUUGCAAGUUUCCAUUUGAAAUCUUCAUAUAACUGAAAUAUAAUUUGUAAAUUUGCAUUUUUCUGAAUUUAGUCAUCAAUUUGCUUUUCUAUAAUGACGAAAUUGCAUUUAUUGUAGUUGAGGGUUAUUCUGUUUACGUAAGGAAUUUCCCCUUAAAUGUGACGGCUAAUCAGCUUGAGGAAGAAUUCAAGAAAUUUGGACCAAUAAAGCAAGGAGGUAUCCAAGUUCGAAAUAAGAAGGUUAGUCUCUAAUGUGAGAUGUCUUCCGUGCCAGAAGUGUCUCCUGCUCAGAUAUAGAUUUUCUGACAUAUUUGUGUGUGCCGCUGCAGGGAUACUGUUUUGGAUUUGUUGAGUUUCUGUCUGCAAGUUGCCAUUCAGGUAGGUGUUUAAAUUCUAUUUCCUAUGUUCUGUAUUCAAGUUCCAUGAAUAGUGCCAUUCAUGAAUAGUGCUAUAGGAUGUGGAUGCACCUCAACAAGUUACAGCAGUUAACCUAAUUUGACAGAAAUUGAAGAUUGGACUUGAAUUGUUUAAAUUGAAAACCACCGUGGCAAAAAUGAUCAAAUUGAAACCACAUGGACCUUAGUGAUAAAAGUGGGAAACCACAUGACCAAAAGUGACGUUUUGCCAACUUUCAUUUAUGGUACCCUUUGUUCAUAUACAUCUCAUUCUAUAGGAAGUGCAAUGAAGAUAUUUACUCUUUAAGAUAUCCUUACUUCUUAAGCUAUUCUUCUUAGAACCUUACGAAAGUAAGUAAGUCAUUCAUAUGAGUAAUCAAGUCUAUAAUUUGAACACAAUAGGAAAUCAAAUUCAUUAGGGUUUAGACGUACUUAGUUAGGAUUUUGGUUCCUUAUUUUAUUAGAAUUUUGGUUACUUACCAAUUAUUAUUUAGUCCUAUUGUAAGAGAGAUUUACUUCCUAUUGUAAUUUAGAUAUAUUUUUUAUUUUAUUUAGGGUACACAUCUUUGUACUUGUAUAAAUACCUCCAUAUUAGAGAAGACUAAUAAUAUGAGUGUAUCUUAGCAUAUUUGAAUAUUUACCCUACUGUGUUUGACAAUAAGUAGUAAACGUACGGCGUUGGACGAAUUGAAAACCAAUCCAAUGGUGACAUUUACCUAUAUGUACUAACACCUAGUACAUAAGCCUUGAAAAUGAAUUGAUUACCAAUCCAGUGGUGACAUUUACCGGUAUGGUGAUCCCCCACUUUUAAAACUUGAAAAUGAUAUGCACCAAACCAAUUGUAUUGCACCAAAUACACGUCCUUUUGCUCUUAAAGAGAGAGAAUAAAUUCUCCUUUUUCGUAUGCUUCUACUGUGCUGCAUACAACAACUUUAGUUUUAUCUUGCCUCUUUUGAUCAUUCGGUGUUUGCCUUAUAUUUGUCUCCAUUUCCUAUUGGGUGUGCUAGCAACUUUGUGAACGACAAGAAGAGUUCGUAAGUUUCUCCUCUGUUCUUGUUGUUUCCUAUUUUUGUUUAUGAGUUGCUUGGUACAUUUGUUUUACAUCUCUUUUGAUAAUUGUUUGCGAGCAAGAAUUUGAGUACUGUUAUUGGCUCAAAUGUUUGAGAGUGUAUUGGGUGUAUUGGCUCAAAUGAUAGACUACAAAGUCGAACUAGUAUAAAUCAUGUGUAUUAUUGGUUUAUUUAUAUUUGUCAAAUUUUGCAUCUGCUUCAUAUAGGUCACAUAUAUACUACGCCUCCGUACAACACUAAGCACUUGGGCAGAUUCCAUCUGACCUGUCUAGUAAUAAUGAUAAAAAUAGGGCAAAAGGUUCCAGUUGGCAAUGGCAGAACCUGCUAAAAUAGAUACAGUAAUCAAUUAGGAUAGUAUCUCCUAAUUAUACAAUGAUUUGUCAACUAUAUAGAAUAGGAAAGUAAAUCCCUUAAUUAAUCAAUGAAAUAAAUCUCUUUAAUUAAUUAGGAGACUCACAUCAACACUCUUCCUCAAGUUGGUGCAUAUAUGUCAUUAAUGCCCAACUUGGUAAGUGAGUCAUGAAAUACUCUGUCACAAACAGCUUUUGUUAAGAUAUCUGCUAAUCGAUCUUCUGAUUUUACGAAUGGUAGGCGGAUGAUCUUAUUCUCAAUUUUUUCUUUGAUAAAAUAUUUAUCCACCUCAACAUGUUUGGUUCGAUCAUGUUCAACUGGAUUGUGGGCAAUAUCGAUAGCUGACUUGUUGUCACAAUGCAACUUCAUUGGCUUUUCUGGCUUAAAGCCCAAUUCUGUCAAUAGUCUUCUGAUCCACAAUAAUUCACAAACUCUGUGAGCCAUUCCUCGAUACUCUGCUUCUACACUAGACCGAGAAACCAAAUUUUGCAUUUUACACCACCAAGUGACUAGGUUACCUCCCAUGAAUGUAAAGUAACCUGAAGUAGAGCGUCUAUCUGUAAUAGAACUAGCCCAAUCAGCAUCUAUGUAUCCAAUAACUUCAAGAUCUCCAUUUUGGAGCACAUUAAUCCUUUUCCAAGAGCUGACUUUAAGUAUUUUAAGAUCCGAUCACCUGCAUUCCUAUGAGAAAUACUAGGCAAAUGCAUAAACUGACUAACCACACUCACAGCAUAUGCAAUAUCUGGUCUUGUGUGUGCCAAAUAUAUCAACCUUCCAACAAGGCGUUGGUACUGUUCCUUAUUGGUUGGUUCUUGGUCCAUGUCUUCACACAACUUAUGAUUCAUCUCAAUGAAUGUGUCAGCAAGCUUACAUCCAAGUAUUCCUGGUUUAGUGAGUGGAUCCAUUACAUACUUCCUUUGAGACAGAAAUAUAUCAAUUUUUAAUCUUGCUACUUCGAUUCCGAGAAAGUACUUCAAAUCACCUAAAUCCUUCAUCUCAAAUUCCUGAGACAAAUACUUUUGCAACUUCAAUUGUUUCCAGUUACGAUUAUGUCAUCUACAUAAACAAUCAAUGCAGUAAGUUUUCCUUCAUCACGCUUCAAGAAUAGGGUGUGAUCUGAAUUACUCUAUGUAUAUCCAAAAUUCUUCAUAGAUUUAGUAAAUUUGCCAAACCAUGCCCUAGGAGAUUUCUUUAACCUAUAUAAUGACUUUCUGAGCUUGCAAACUUGAUUUUUCUUAUCAGGAGCUGAAUUACAUCAUGGGGUAAGUCCAUAUAUACUUCUUCUUCCAAGUCUCCAUGUAAGAAUGCAUUUUUGACAUCAAAUUGAUGUACUGGCCAAUCGAGAUUUGCUGCUAGAGACAAUAGAACUCUAAUAGUGUUAAUCUUGGCUACUGGGGCAAAGGUCUCCUCGUAAUCUAUCCCACAUCUCUGUGUGUACCUCUUCGCCAUCAAUCUAGCUUUAUAUCUUUCAACGUAUCCAUCUGCUUUGAGUUUCACAGUAUAAAUCCACCUGCAUCCUACUGUCUUCUUUCCAUGAGGUAAAGGCACGAGUUCCCAUGUGACAUUCUUUUGGAGAGCUCGCAUUUCUUCAUUCAUAGCUUCUUUCCAUUUUGGGUCUUCUAGUGCUUCAGUUACAAUGUUGGGGACAUAUAUGUCAGCCAACUGCUUCACAUAGUGCACACGUGACUCUGAUAAUCUGCUGUGAGAUAUAUAAUUAUUGAUGAGGUAUUUUCCUUUGGCUUUAAGAUCUACUUUAUAUUGUACUAGAGCUUUGCCACGGUUCUUCCUUUCUGAAAGCUGAUAUGUAGGCUCUAUGCCUUCUGAAAUCAAAUCAUCAUGGGAUAUUUCAUUAGUGUUAUCAGUUUUAGGAAAAGAUGUUACCUGAAUGACUUCCUCAGCAGGUGAUUGGUGCGGUAAUAGAGCUGAAGCGGGCAAAAUCUCAAAAAACGGUUCAAUUUCCUCCUCAUGAUUUUGAUAGCGUGGAGCCAACUUAUCGUUUUCCUCUGGCGACUGGUCUUAUCUACUGGCGACCGGUCUUUUUGAAGCAGGUUCUCUAUAGUUGAAGAACUAAGGGGAGGUGAUCGGUUUCUUUCCACUGAAAAUCGAUCAUUUUGAUGCAGAGUGACAUCCUAGGGAAAAAAAAUCAAGAAUUGGAGCAGUGGUGGAUUCUUGAUUCUCCUCUUAGGCUGUUGAAAAAUAUAAGUCAUGUUCCUCAAACACAACAUCUAUGGAGGGGAAGAUCUUAUGACUAGGAGGAUGAUAAUACCGGUAUCCUUUCUGAUGAGAUGCAUAACCAAUGAUCCAAUUUACUUCUGAGGAUGAAAACACAACUUUUCGGCUCGGGGAUCCAAUUUACUUCGUUGGUGAUCAUGUAAGUGGACAAAUACAACACAGCCAAAAAUUCAAGGUUCCAGGUUUGGGGUGGGAAGUGUUUGGAUAUGGUGGUGAAGUGUUUGAAGUAGUGUUUGGAAAUUUAAGAUACUAUAGGGAAUCCGAUUGAUAAGGUAUGCUGCAGAGACGACGGCUUCGCCCCAAAAGGAUUGUGGCAUAUUGGCACCAAAAAGAGAGGCACGAACGACUUCCAAUAAGUGUCUGUUCUUUCUUUCAACCACCCCAUUCUGUUGGGGAGUGUAAGGGCAUGAGCGUUGAUGUAUGAUGUCAUGAUCUUCAAAGAACUGGUUAAGAUUAUGGUUGAGAAAUUCUCCGCCAUUGUCAGAACGAAGAACCUGAAUUCUAGCAUGAAACUGAGUCUCCACCAUUUGAUAAAACUGUUGAAACCUGGAACUGACUUCCCUUUUAGUUUUGAGAAGGGAAACCCAAGUCAUGCGUGUGCAAUCAUCUAUAAACGUGACAAACCAUCGAGCCUCUACCGGAGUUGCAAUUUUAGCAAGUCCCCAAACAUCAGAAUGAACAAGAGAAAAUGGAACCAAACUCUUAUUUGAACUUAAUGGGAACAGGACAUGAUGGCUCUUAGCCAAUUCAUACGUAUCACACUGGAAGCUGGAAAUAUCAAGACUGAAAAAUAAUGAUGAAAACAACUUCUUAAGAUAACCGAACGAGGCAUGCCCAAGACGUUUAUGCCAUAACCAAAUUUUGUCUCUCUCCUCCUCAAAACGGGUUCCACUGGUUCUAAAAGCUUGACCAAUAUUGACCUCAUUAUCCGGUGCCCAGUCCAAGUAGUAGAGUUUGCCUGUCGAGUACCACAACCAAUCGUCUUUCCUGUGAGGAUGUCCUGAAAAACACAAUUAUUCGGCCAAAAUGUUACGGUACACCCCAAAGUAGUAGUAAGUUGUGGAACAGAUAACAAGUUAUGAUCCAAAGAUGGGACAAGUAAUAAAUAAUUCAGAUGUAGGGAAGUAGAGAGAGAUAGAGAACCCUCCCCAACUACAGGGAAAGGGGUACCAUUAGCAUUAGACACCGCCGACAAAGUGGAUGAUUUACGACUAAUAAGUUGGCUAGGAUCAAAAGUCAUGUGAUCCGUAGCACCCGAGUCGAUAAUCCAUGCGGAUUUUUGAGAUGACGUAUGAAAAGUAGAACCUUUGGUGGUGGCGAUAGAAACAUGAGUCCGAGUAGCCAGGUCAGCAGGAUUGACCACAUGCUUCUUUGAGUCUGCAAUAAGGAGGAGAAUCGUAGGGGUUCCUAACAUUACAGCGGAAGUAAGAUGUGAUAUGAGAAUGUGAGGAAUUAUGAUUGGAGGAAUUUGAGUUGAGGAAUUUGAUGUAGGAAUUAAAUUUGAGAGGUAUGUGUAUAAGAUUUGAGGGUAUGUGUUUAGGAAUUUUGAUAAGAGGAUUUGAGGACUUUAGAUUUGAGGGAUUUGGAUUUGGGGAAAAUAUGAGGAAUUUGAUUUAGGGUUUGAGAUUUGAAUAUGAGAAAUUUGAGAUAAGGGUUUAGAGACAACCUAGGAUCGAUUGUUCUGAUACCAUGCUAAAAUAUGAAUAUGGUUUGAAUACUUUGAGUUGGGUUUGUCCCGUUACGCAUAUGAAUUUUUAUAGAAGAAGUACGCAAGAUUUGGUUAUCAGGGUGUUAGAAAAAUAAGGGGUUUAAUUGCUAUAUUUAAAGAAGAAGAAAAAAGAACUUAAUUCGUGCAAAUAAAUACCAAAUUAAAUGCAUAAAAUAAUUAGAACAAUAUGAGAGAAGUUUUAGAAAAAUCAGAAUAUUGUCGAGUCUAAAACUUAGUUCUAUCUUUUUAAGAUGAAAUUGCUCAUCACUGGUGCUUCAGGUUCCAAUGGCAAACAUCUCCCAAAAUACAAUAACUUCCUUCUUGUGAUAGUAACAUUUCAUGCCACAAGAACAACGAAUGCUGACUUGUGCUUGAACUAUGUCUCAAUAUAAGACUCUAUUUUACUGACAAAGACUCAUGUAUGCAGUGAAUGAAAAACUCUUUAUUGCCCUGGGGUGCAAUCUUUUGCUGAGGUGCCAGCUUUCCUAGUGAAUUGUUUGCCUGCGGAUGCUGUUGGAGUGUCCAGGUCCCGUGUUGUUUGUGGGCUCUUAGCCUCUAUUGUUAAAAAAAUAAAAAAUAAAAAACUCUUUAUUAAAUUCUCAAUGUGUUGCCGUAUUUAUAAUACUAAAAAAAACCUGUUUAGAGGGGCUGUGUCAUAAUGAAAAGUCAAAGUGUACAACUCUUAUAUAACUUUUCAUUUAAAACCUGUUCAUUGUCACUUCUAAUUUUAUACAUCCUAUAAUAAGAAAUCUUUUAAUAUUAAAAUAUUAAAAUUUUCCAACAAUCCCCACAUGGAUGUAAAAAAUUAAUCAACAAAAUAAAAAUAAAAAUACAAACACUUGAGAGAGUUCGAUCGGAAAGAUACCACGUCAGGAUAGGUAGUUAUUGGCCUUGAACCUUUCCUAGUGAAAUACCAUCAAGUUUACUUGGAUAAUUAGUGAAUGCGGUUUCUUCAACUACUUAGCCGUUUGUGUAAUCUCAUACGAUAGUAUUCACACAAUACCUCACCAUACACAUCUAGUUCUAAGUUGUGUCCCAGACGAUAGUGUUGCACUAGUAAUAGAACCAUGUUAAACAUAAUUAACAUAUUCUAAUUACCAUACCCUCAUUAAUUGAUUAAAAUACAUAAAUAUGAAAGACUAACUUUCAUUUAUGGUACCCUUUGUUUAUAUACAUCUCAUUCUAUAGGAAGUGCAAUGAAGAUAUUCUUACUUCUUAAGCUAUUCUUCUUAGAAACUUACGAAAGUAAGUAAGUCAUUCACAUGAGUAAUCAAGUCUAUAAUUUGAACACAACAGGAAGUCAAAUUCAUUAGACUAAUCAAGUCUAUAAUGCUAUGGUUUGGGGAUAAGUAGUAAUCGUACGGCGUUGGACGAAUUGAAAACCAAUCCAAUGGUGACAUUUACCUAGUACAUAAGCCUUGAGAAUGAAUUGAUUACUGGCUGUGAAGAAAGAUGCGUGCUUUUAUUUCUGUUUUAUUUAAUAAAGCUGGAAAGUGGCGUGUAACACUUGCCAAGGGAAAAUUGUCUUCCUUCUUCUUCUUUGAAUCUUAUAUAACCUGAAACCACAAUAACUUUAAGAGGGAAAGAAAAUAUAAAUAUAAAUAAAGAAAAGAAAACCAAAAUAAAUAAUAACAACAAACUCAAUUAUGUAAAUUAGGAAUCCAAAUUCUAAAUUAAUUUAGGAAUUCCCGUCAACGGAGUCAAAAACUUGGUCUGUCCUUGCAAGUGCACAAGAUUGAUGUAGUAUAGCGUUUGACAAAUUCAGGUAUCGUUCCCACGAGGAUUCCAAAUUAAUCUAAUAUUCAAAUACCUAAAUUAAAUCUAACUGAUACGCAAGUAAAUUUAUAAAGAUUGUUGUUGUGAAAGUUUAUGAAACAAACAAUGAAAUUAAUAAAAGCAAUUGAGAAUAAAAAUUAAAUUAAAUUUUAAGGUUGAAAAAGAAUGAUGAAGGUCUAGUUCGGAAUCAACCACAAGCAAUCCAAGUUAGAUUUCAAUGCAUUCAAUAUAUUCUUUCGAUUCUUUAGAUGAUAAUUCACGUAUCUAAGUCCUUUUCAGGCACUCAUACCAUAGUUUUUCUUAAGUGUAAGAUUCUUUUCUAGUUCAGACAAAGAUCAUAUACCCAAUCCUGCAAUCUAUCCUGGUUAAGGCAUAAAUUUAACAAAGUGGAUUCAUUAUGUUCUAGAAAACGAGAGAACCAAGCAAACCAUUAUUCUUCGUCAAGCAAUAAUGUAAUUCACCACACUUUAUCACAAUAAGCUAAUUGAAUUAUAUUGCGAGUUCUACCUCAAAUUCAUCUUCCAAUUUACUAGAUGCAAAGCCCUAAGGUGAUCAAUCAAAGAACUUAAACAAAUAGCAACAAUUAAAAUAGUAAUUAAUAAACAUUCAUCUAAAAGAAACUUAGAAUCUAUUAAAUAACAUUAGAAAUCAUAACUAUCCAUGCUCGGGCGUCAUCCUCACCCUAGAGAAUAAUUUAGUUACUCAUGUUCAAAGAAAACAUAAAAUAAAACUUAUGGAUUAUGACGAUGCUUGAGAACUUGAUGAUGGCAGCGAUUCUUUGACUCUCCUUCCAACUCCAGCAUGAGAGAACCCUAUUUUCUGGUCUUCUUUAAAUAAGGAACAAAUCCUCUUUUGACUUAGUAACUAUGCUUUCCUAGUUUGGCUUCAAUUGUCUUUGGUGAGUUGGCAUCCAAAAUCUUACUAAAUAUAGGAUCAGACCUUAGAAAAUAACUUUGCAUUCUUGUAGACACUUUCAAAAUGCAAUUGACAUAAAUUGGACUCCAAGGAUUGGACUUCAAAAGGAUUAUUUUGCAAAACCCGCAGAACACAUUCUGCCCGAACUGUCCGUACUAAAAUGGCCACAACUCUCUUCACACACGUCCGAAUCACGAACCGUAAAAUUCUACAGAAAGCUAACAUCCGUAUCUUUCCAAUGAUAUAAGGCUCAACAUCUGGUUCGCUCUGAGGAAGUACAGUAUAUUCUGUAAAGUUGUCCGAUCUGCACAGCACAUUCUGCUCCUAGGAUUUCACAUUACAUUUCAAUCCCGAAAUUGCUUCUUUUUCUUGCUUUUCCAUCUUUACUCUUCAAAUUUAGUAAAACACAAAACUAAGUAAAAAUAGACUAAACUCACUCAAGAACACAACAAGAAUCUAAGAAAAGAGAAGGAUAAAAAAAAAUGUACAAUGGUUAUAUCAAUUACCAAUCCAGUGGUGACAUUUACCGGUACGGUGACCCCCCACUUUUAAAACUUGAAAAUGAUGAUAUACCAAACCAAGUGUGGUUUUGUGGCUUCUAUUGUGUGGCGUGGCCUGAUAUCAGCCCCAUUUUGUAUUUCAUCAAAUACACGUCCUUUUGCUCUUAACGAGAGAGAAUAAAUUCUCCUUUUUCGUAUGCUUCUACGGUGCUGCAGUGUAUACAACAACUGCACUUCUUGUUGUUUUGAUCAUGCGGUGUUUGCCUUAUAUUUGUCUCCAUUUCCUAUUGGGUGUGCUAGCAACUUUGUGAACGACAAGAAGAGUUCGUAAGCUUCUCUUCUAUUUUUGUUGUUUCCUCUUUUUAUUGGCUCAAAUGUUUGAGAGUGUAUUGGGUGUAUUGGCUCAAAUCAUAGGCUACGAAUUCGAACUAGUAUAAAUCAUGUGUAUUAUUAUUGGUUUAUUUAUAUUUGUCAAAUUUUGCAUCUGCUUGAUAUAGGUCACAUAUAUACUACGCCUCCGUACAACACUAAGCACUUGGACAGAUUCCACCUGACCUGUCUAGUAGUAGUGAUAAAAAGAGGGCAAAAGGAUCCAUCUCCAUUUGGCAAUGGCAGAACCAACAAGCUCGGUUAAAGUAGUUGAAGUUUGCAGGGUGGCUCCUCCUCCUCCAUCCUCAUCCGGUGCAUUCGCAUCCCCAAGCUCCCUUCCCCUUACCUUCUUCGACAUCCGUUGGUUAAGAUUUGCCCCCGUCCAGCGCCUUUAUUUCUACGAAAUGCCUACUUCCUCUGCAACACCACUCUUCUUUGACUCCAUACUUGUCCCAAAACUCAAAGCCUCACUCUCUUACACCCUCCAGCACUUUCUACCUCUGGCAGGAAACCUCACUUGGCCUCAAGACUCCCAAAAACCCGUCCUUAACUAUGUCCAAGGCGACACCGUUUCGCUCACAAUAGCAGAGUCUGGUGCUGACUUCUACCACCUUUCAAGUGGUGACUUUGUUGAAGCCACAGAGUACCAUCCUCUUGUACCCCGAUUGGAAGCGUCUCAUGAACAAGCUGCAGUGAUGGCAUUGCAAAUCACUGUCUUUCCCAACUGUGGCUUUUCGAUUGGAACUUCCAUACACCAUGCAGUCCUAGAUGGCAAGAGUAUAACUUUUUUUGUAAAAUCAUGGGCUCACAUUUGCAAACAUGAUGAUCAAUCUAAUUCAGUGCUACCUGAUGAGAUGAAACAAUUUUAUGAUUCAGGAUCCAGCUGAGCUUGGAACAAUCUACUCCAACGACUAUCGAAAUAAGGACGGUCCCAACAAUAGGAGCUUAAUAUUUUGGGAGAUGAAACUACCACCAGACUCAAUCCGAGGCACCUUUGAAUUCACACGAGCAGAUAUAGAAACACUGAGGCAAUCGUUCAAGGCUAAAAUGGCAGAGCAGAAACCAGUUCAUGUGUCAACUUUCACUCUAGCUUGUGCCUAUACAUGGGUUUGCGUAGUCAAAGCAGAGGACAUAAAAGCUGACAAAGCACGUCUGAUCUUUGGCAUGGACUGCAGCCUGCAGGUCUCGCUUGGACCCUCCUAUACCUGCAAACUAUUUUGGAAACUGCAUAGCAGGAUGUAUACCAGUUGCCGAAACGAAAGGCUUGCUUGGAGAAGAUGGGUUGGUUGUCGCCGUGAAUGCAAUUAGUGAAGCUAUAGAAAGAUUGAAGAAGGGGGUUUUGGAUGGGGCAGAGAAUUGGGUUUCAAGGUUGUUUGGUGUGAGAAGUGAGGAAAGAAUUCUCAGCAUUGCUGGUUCAAAUCGGUUUGGAAAUUAUGAUACUGAUUUUGGAUGGGGAAGACCAAAGAAGUUUGAGAUUGUUUCCAUAGAUAGAACCAGAGCUAUCUCCCUUUCAGAUUCCAAGAAUGGUGCUGGGGCUAUUGAAGUUGGGUUGGCUUUAGACAAACACGACAUGCACGUUUUUGCUUCUCUAUUUGCUAAAGGUCUUCGAAACCUUUGAAGAGCAUGAAGCCUCCGCAACAACAUUUUCUUUUUGCACUUUAUAUUUUCUGGAAUAAUAAUUUGGGAUUCGUUGGUCAAUAGUAGACCAACCUUUGUAUGCUCUCAACAAACAGCUUUGUGAUGAUUUUUCCUUUGGACCAGGUGCAGGUGGCUCUGUCCGUCUCUUUUCCUAUGUACUGCAUCAAAUAAACUUCUUAGUGUUUUUUCCUUUGGUCAACUAUAAAAGUUGACAAACUUUGUAUGCUCUCAGUAAUUACCUUUGUGAACAUGUUGUUCUUUGGACCAGGUAGCUAACUCUGUUUCUUUUCCUAUGUACAGUCUCUAAUAUCUGUUUAUUUUCCUCUGUAUUAUUUCCAGUCAAAAACAAUGUGCUUACUUUACUUUCCUUCUCUUCCAAAACACUAUUUUAAUGUAUAGUAUUCAACCAAAGUUGAAAUAUAUAUGUGAAAUCGUAUUUUAAAUAUAUAUAUUAAUAUUUUGGGAAAUUAAAUGUUUUGUUAUCUAUUUAGUUUAUAAUUUAAAUUAUAUUUAAUUGAUUAUAUACGUACAUGGAGCUUUCAUUGAGGGAUCCCUCAAAUAAGCUUAUUUGAAAGACACCCUCCGCAUUGUAUUUCACUAAUCCAAACCGUCUAUUUUUUUUAAAAAUGAAAACAACAUUACAAGUUGUUCACGUCAAGUUUUCAUAUUAUGAAAACUUAGCAACUAUUGUUGAUUUUAAAGGACUUUGAAAUGGCCAUGGGGCUGUCAAAAGAAAUACUGAACUUGCCUUCAAGAUAGGUACUAUGCGAAAUGCAAUGCAUGGGAUCUCCCUAUAUUCAGAGAGUGACAUGUCAUGCAAGCAAUAAAACUAAUUGCAUUUUUCCCAUUUAUGCUGAUUUCUAAGUAUUUAUCUUGAAUUUAUAUUAUUGUUUCUAACUUCAAUGUAAAAGGAAGGAGCAUUAAAUGAAUCAUGUCUAAUUAUUUUUUACCAAAAGCUUUUUUAAAAAAAAGAGUUUUUCUAUCUAAAUCCUACAUUUUUUUUAAAUUCUAAUAUUUAAAUAAUUAAUUUCUUAAGUUUUAGUAUUAUGUAAAAAGACAAAAAAAAAAAAGUCAUCCAACUUAAUACUUAACCCUAGUACAUCUAUACACACACCCCACCACUCUUCAUUUUAAGUUUUAAAAAAACACAAACUCUUCUACACCCUAUUGCUAGAUUACUAAUCUCUUCCAAUCCAAAAAAACUAACUACACUCUCAUCUUCUCUUCACAAAACCUAAAUACGGUAUGCAAAUAGUGGAUUGUGGAUCGUCAAUUGAGGUAUGUAAUGUGAAAAGUCGCUAUCAAGAAGACCACCUGCUAAUUUCUCCAAUCAAACUUCUGAAUUUUGUGCAAGAAUUUGAUCAUGGCUUCUCAAGGAAGGUAAAGACUGUGAGUCUCUGUUGUACAAUAAGUAAUGAUAGCUAAAAUUAGCAAUUAAUCACUAAGCUUCAAAGUAGAGUGAUGAGGGGCAAAAUAGCUGGGUGUGGGGUUGAUGAGUUUUUUUAUUUUAAUUUAUGUUGGGUGUGUAUUUAGGGAUAGUUUGGGAAGAUAGUGGAGUUUUCUUAGAAAUUGUAAAACUUUGAGUUAGAAAUUGGGAUGAACUUAUGGGGUAAACAAGAUAAGUGCGGAGUUUAAAUAGAAAAAUUCAACAAAAAAAACUUCCAGUUAUUUCUAAGAGCAUCCACAGUGGGAGAGUGUAUCUUCGGGGGUGUAAAGCCACUUUUACAUCCCAUAUACACCUUCGGGGGUUGUAAAUCAUUUUUGCUUCAGUGAGAAAGAUGUAAAUCUAAAGAUGUAUAAUUGAUUUCUUUUACUUUUUCUGUUAUAGGUCUCACUUUUGUCCACUUUUUCUCACAUUUUCUCAUGUAGGUCCCACCUGCAAGAGAUAUAAAAAAAGAUGUACAUGUGCAUCUAAAUUUACAUCUCAUGAUGGUGAUGUAAAUUUACACUCGUUUACGCCUCUUUAUUACGAGUGAUUCCAAUUACAAAUAAUGUAUAUUUAACGUGCACCUCAUUAUACACACUCCCACCAUAGAUCCUCUAAGGCAAGUUGCCUUUUUAAACAACAGAGCGCAUCCCUAACUUGGUGCCCAAUGCCUAUGCGUUUUUGAAAGAAAAGGGCAGCGGUGGUUAUGGGUGAAGGGUGAAGUUUCGUCGGGAAGUUUCGUCGAACACUUGGUGGGCAUAUUGGGGUCGCUCACCAAGCUUCCAAGGGGUCGACGGAGCACCUUCCCAGCCACUUUUCCGGCGUCCAAGGGGUCCGCACUGUGGGUCCGCCCAACCCUUGGCUUUUCUGUGAAUUAGAUAUGGUCGAUAGUUUCUAAUUCCAAUAGUCCAAUGGCAGAGCUAAGCUCAACUUCAGUGAAACUAGUUGAGGUCUGCAGGGUAGCUCCACAACCACAACCAGAUGUUGCAGAGUUUUCUCUUCCCCAAACCUUCUUCGACCUCCUAUGGCUAAGGUUUCCACACUUCCACCGCCUUUUCUUCUACGAAAUAUUGGCUUCCUCUGCCUCAGCUGACACAAAACCCUUCUUUGAUUCUCUACUCUUUCAAAAACUCAAAGCCUCACUCUCUGUCACCCUCCAACACUUUCUACCUCUGGCAGGAAAC